GCUAGCGUAGCUUAAAAUCAAAGCAUAGCACUGAAGAUGCUAAGAUGAGUCCUAAAAAAUCUCCGCA
This 67-nucleotide transfer RNA is filed under the name Barbonymus schwanefeldii (tinfoil barb). RNAcentral's name for it is "tRNA-Phe". It matches the Rfam family "tRNA". Rfam says of the family: Transfer RNA (tRNA) molecules are approximately 80 nucleotides in length. Their secondary structure includes four short double-helical elements and three loops (D, anti-codon, and T loops). Further hydrogen bonds mediate the characteristic L-shaped molecular structure. tRNAs have two regions of fundamental functional importance: the anti-codon, which is responsible for specific mRNA codon recognition, and the 3' end, to which the tRNAs corresponding amino acid is attached (by aminoacyl-tRNA synthetases). tRNAs cope with the degeneracy of the genetic code in two manners: having more than one tRNA (with a specific anti-codon) for a particular amino acid; and 'wobble' base-pairing, i.e. permitting non-standard base-pairing at the 3rd anti-codon position. Lineage: Eukaryota; Metazoa; Chordata; Actinopteri; Cypriniformes; Cyprinidae. The record is from RNAcentral.